Molecule: ribosomal RNA, 253 nt
Filed under: uncultured bacterium
Lineage: Bacteria
Description: partial 16S ribosomal RNA
Rfam family: Bacterial small subunit ribosomal RNA
Source: RNAcentral
UACGUAGGUGGCAAGCGUUGUCCGGAUUUACUGGGUGUAAAGGGCGUGUAGCCGGACUGACAAGUCAGAUGUGAAAUCCGGGGGCUCAACCCCCGAACUGCAUUUGAAACUGUUGGUCUUGAGUAUCGGAGAGGCAGGCGGAAUUCCUAGUGUAGCGGUGAAAUGCGUAGAUAUUAGGAGGAACACCAGUGGCGAAGGCGGCCUGCUGGACGACAACUGACGGUGAGGCGCGAAAGCGUGGGGAGCAAACAGG